This 388-nucleotide ribosomal RNA is filed under the name uncultured bacterium. RNAcentral's name for it is "bacterial SSU rRNA". It matches the Rfam family "Bacterial small subunit ribosomal RNA", at positions 29 to 416 of the family's 1533-position model. The record is from RNAcentral.
AUUGAACGCUGGCGGCAUGCUUUACACAUGCAAGUCGAACGGCAGCACGGGGGCUUGCUCCUGGUGGCGAGUGGCGAACGGGUGAGUAAUGCAUCGGAACGUACCCAGUAGUGGGGGAUAGCCCGGCGAAAGCCGGAUUAAUACCGCAUAUUUCCUGAGGGAGAAAGCGGGGGACCUUCGGGCCUCGCGCUACUGGAGCGGCUGAUGUCGGAUUAGCUAGUUGGUGAGGUAAAGGCUCACCAAGGCGACGAUCCGUAGCUGGUCUGAGAGGAUGAUCAGCCACACUGGGACUGAGACACGGCCCAGACUCCUACGGGAGGCAGCAGUGGGGAAUUUUGGACAAUGGGGGCAACCCUGAUCCAGCCAUGCCGCGUGAGUGAAGAAGGCC